GGUCCAGUAGCUCAAUGGAUAGAGCACCAGUCUUCGGAACUGGGUGUUGGGGGUUCGAGUCCCUCCUGGACCGCCA
This 76-nucleotide transfer RNA is filed under the name Roseiflexus castenholzii. Its description in RNAcentral is "tRNA-Arg". It matches the Rfam family "tRNA". From Rfam's summary of the family: Transfer RNA (tRNA) molecules are approximately 80 nucleotides in length. Their secondary structure includes four short double-helical elements and three loops (D, anti-codon, and T loops). Further hydrogen bonds mediate the characteristic L-shaped molecular structure. tRNAs have two regions of fundamental functional importance: the anti-codon, which is responsible for specific mRNA codon recognition, and the 3' end, to which the tRNAs corresponding amino acid is attached (by aminoacyl-tRNA synthetases). tRNAs cope with the degeneracy of the genetic code in two manners: having more than one tRNA (with a specific anti-codon) for a particular amino acid; and 'wobble' base-pairing, i.e. permitting non-standard base-pairing at the 3rd anti-codon position. The record is from RNAcentral. Lineage: Bacteria; Bacillati; Chloroflexota; Chloroflexia; Chloroflexales; Roseiflexaceae. RNAcentral also lists the same sequence under 5 other names.